UGGGGAAUAUUGCACAAUGGGCGCAAGCCUGAUGCAGCCAUGCCGCGUGUAUGAAGAAGGCCUUCGGGUUGUAAAGUACUUUCAGUCGGGAGGAAGGUGGUAAGGUUAAUAACCUUGGCAAUUGACGUUACCGACAGAAGAAGCACCGGCUAACUCCGUGCCAGCAGCCGCGGUAAUACGGAGGGUGCAAGCGUUAAUCGGAAUUACUGGGCGUAAAGCGCACGCAGGCGGUUGAUUGAGUCAGAUGUGAAAUCCCCGGGCUUAACCCGGGAAUUGCAUCUGAUACUGGUCAGCUAGAGUCUUGUAGAGGGGGGUAGAAUUCCAUGUGUAGCGGUGAAAUGCGUAGAAAUGUGGAGGAAUACCGGUGGCGAAGGCGGCCCCCUGGACAAAGACUGACGCUCAGGUGCGAAAGCGUGGGGAGCAAACAGG
This 429-nucleotide ribosomal RNA is filed under the name Chloroflexota bacterium. RNAcentral describes it as "Chloroflexi bacterium partial 16S ribosomal RNA". It matches the Rfam family "Bacterial small subunit ribosomal RNA", at positions 355 to 776 of the family's 1533-position model. The record is from RNAcentral. Lineage: Bacteria; Bacillati; Chloroflexota.